Molecule: unclassified non-coding RNA, 20 nt
Filed under: Mus musculus (house mouse)
Lineage: Eukaryota; Metazoa; Chordata; Mammalia; Rodentia; Muridae
Description: oocyte_clustered_small_RNA5523
Source: RNAcentral
AUUCACUACCAGAGUCUGCU